RNAcentral lists this ribosomal RNA (326 nucleotides) under uncultured eukaryote. RNAcentral's name for it is "partial 18S ribosomal RNA". It matches the Rfam family "Eukaryotic small subunit ribosomal RNA", at positions 1470 to 1796 of the family's 1831-position model. The record is from RNAcentral.
CCCCUAGAUGUUCUGGGCCGCACGCGCGCUACACUGAACAGUUCAACAAGUCUUAACCUUGGCCGAUAGGUCUGGGUAAUCUCCAAAUUUCGUCGUGAUGGGGAUAGAUUAUUGCAAUUAUUAAUCUUCAACGAGGAAUGCCUAGUAAGCGCAAGUCAUCAGCUUGCGUUGAUUACGUCCCUGCCCUUUGUACACACCGCCCGUCGCUCCUACCGAUUGAAUGGUCCGGUGAAGCGUUCGGACCGUGGCCUUUGGACGGUUCGCCGUCUGUUGGCUGCGGGAAGUUCGUUAAACCUUNUNAUUUAUNGGAAGGAGAANUCGUANCA